This 68-nucleotide transfer RNA is filed under the name Canis lupus familiaris (dog). It matches the Rfam family "tRNA". From Rfam's summary of the family: Transfer RNA (tRNA) molecules are approximately 80 nucleotides in length. Lineage: Eukaryota; Metazoa; Chordata; Mammalia; Carnivora; Canidae. RNAcentral also lists the same sequence under 1 other name. The record is from Rfam by way of RNAcentral.
GCUGGCUCAGUUGGUAAAGCAUGAGACUCUUGAUCUUGGGGUCGUGAGUUCAAGCCCCAUGUUCAGCA